UACGUAGGGUGCUAGCGUUAUCCGGAUUUACUGGGCGUAAAGGGUGCGUAGGUGGUCUUUCAAGUCGGUGGUUAAAGGCUACGGCUCAACCGUAUUAAGCCGCCGAAACUGGAAGACUUGAGUGCAGGAGAGGAAAGUGGAAUGCGCAGUGUAGCGGCGAAAUGCGUAGAUAUGGGGAAGAACUCCAGUAGCGAAGGCGGCUUGCUGGACUGCGACUGACACUGAGGCACGAAAGCGUGGGGAGCAAACAGG
Molecule: ribosomal RNA, 252 nt
Filed under: uncultured bacterium
Lineage: Bacteria
Description: partial 16S ribosomal RNA
Rfam family: Bacterial small subunit ribosomal RNA
Source: RNAcentral